CCUACGUGUGGCUGCAGUGAGGAAUAUUGGGCAAUGGGGGCAACCCUGACCCAGCCAUGCCGCGUGAGUGAAGAAGGUCUUCGGAUUGUAAAGCUCUUUCGGAAGUGACGAUGAUGACGGUAGCUCAGGAGCAAGCCACGGCUAACUACGUGACAGCAGCAGCGGUAAUACGUAGGUGGCAAGCGUUGUACGGAAUUACUGGGUGUAAAGGGAGCGCAGGCGGGAAGCCAAGUCAGCUGUGAAAACUACGGGCUUAACUUGUAGACUGCAGUUGAAACUGGUGUUAUUGAGUGAAGUAGAGGUUGGCGGAAUUCCGAGUGUAGCGGUGAAAUGCGUAGAUAUUCGGAGGAACACCGGUGGCGAAGGCGGCCAACUGGGCUUUAACUGACGCUGAGGCUCGAAAGUGUGGGGAGCAAACAGGAUUAGAUACCCUGGUAGUC
This 440-nucleotide ribosomal RNA is filed under the name uncultured bacterium. RNAcentral's name for it is "partial 16S ribosomal RNA". It matches the Rfam family "Bacterial small subunit ribosomal RNA", at positions 338 to 795 of the family's 1533-position model. The record is from RNAcentral.